GCUGCUGCUUCUGACCUACUGAACUACAUCUAAUCCAGAUGAGAAACUGGAGAACAUGGAGGUUUUGCAAUUUGAGCUGAGCCACGCGGGAGCUCUUUGGCAGAAGAGGCGGCCUGGCCUCCCGAGGGAGCUGAGCAACAGCUGCACCAGGAGGGACCCCUGCACAGGAGACAAGGACUUCCAGAAUGCCACCAGGGACUACCAGAAAGCACCUCAGCAAACACCCCAAAACACGGGAAGGAGCUGCAGAAAGCCAGCGUGAGAAUCCGAAGAACAACAUCCCAGGUACCAAGGGGGUGAGGUCCCACAGAGCUCAGGCCAGCAACCACCCACUGCGUGCUCUGGUGGGUUUGGAAUCCCAUCCUGUAGGGCAGCUCCCACAUG
Molecule: long non-coding RNA, 384 nt
Organism: Empidonax traillii (willow flycatcher)
Lineage: Eukaryota; Metazoa; Chordata; Aves; Passeriformes; Tyrannidae
Exons: 3
Source: RefSeq, a predicted model, not a curated record